UAUAACCGGUGCCUAUUUCUUUAUUUGUACUAGUGUGGUGAAAGAGAUGAAGAACUUGAAGAAUAGUAGAAAGAGGAAGGGGAGAAUGAAGGGGAGAUGAGUUGGAGACGACAAUUGUGGAGGCGCGACAAGGAGGAAAGUAGAGAGGAGAGGGAAGAAAAAGAAGAAAAUAAACAAAAAGAGGAAGAGGAGGUGAAAGACCAAAUCACCACUUUUACCAACAAAUUUUACCAAUUAUUAAAAUCUUUUUGUAAUUACCAACAAAUAUUUACUCACAAGUUUCUGACUGCUAGCAAAAUUUAUCGACAACCACUUUAUUGAUGGACUAUUGACCAUUGGUAGGAUUUGUCAAUAAGACUCGUUGAUAAAAUAAAAUUUAUAUUUUUUACGGAUAUUUUUAUCGAUAAUGAAGAUGAGAACUUGAAUGGGUAUGGGAACGAGACAGUGUGAAUAUGUACAUACACAUCCUCAUCCCCAUACCUAAUUUAGAAAAUUGGAUAUUAC
This 504-nucleotide long non-coding RNA is filed under the name Vigna radiata. RNAcentral describes it as "long non-coding RNA (VRAD_LNC002946)". Lineage: Eukaryota; Viridiplantae; Streptophyta; Magnoliopsida; Fabales; Fabaceae. The record is from RNAcentral.